UAGAUAAGGAUGAAGCAAAAUAUAUAAUCCAACACUUGAUCUGAUUUAGUGAUGCAAGAUAUAUUACUAUGUUUCUGAAUCUAC
Molecule: small nucleolar RNA, 84 nt
Organism: Trifolium pratense (red clover)
Lineage: Eukaryota; Viridiplantae; Streptophyta; Magnoliopsida; Fabales; Fabaceae
Product: small nucleolar RNA snoR31
Exons: 1
Source: RefSeq, a predicted model, not a curated record